UCACUUUAAAUUCAGGAUCGGCGCGCUAUAUCAGCGGCGUCGGGCAACCGACUAUGGCGAUAAAUUGCUGCGUGCAAUAGAUGCAACGGACCCGGGGGCAGUACCCGGCGGCUCCACCAGAAGCGGCGGCCCAUCACAGUGGCAACCGCAACUCCUGAUGGGGCCGAACCAGGAUCGACGUGUGUUGAAAAGCGUAGUUUUUGCCCGGGCUGAGUAACCCGCAUAAGGCUCAAAAACCAUAAGUGCCAACGAUAACGAAGCACUCGCAAUCGCCGCGUAAUUGAUGGGCUAACGCCCUGAUAUUAUAAGGCUAAAAAGCGCGGUUGGACCGACCGGGCAACAGAACGGAUACC
RNAcentral lists this transfer-messenger RNA (353 nucleotides) under Erythrobacter sanguineus. Its description in RNAcentral is "Porphyrobacter sanguineus Alphaproteobacteria transfer-messenger RNA". It matches the Rfam family "Alphaproteobacteria transfer-messenger RNA". From Rfam's summary of the family: Bacterial tmRNA, also known as 10Sa RNA or SsrA, is named for its dual tRNA and mRNA-like properties. Its role is to liberate the mRNA from a stalled ribosome. To accomplish this part of the tmRNA is used as a reading frame that ends in a translation stop signal. Lineage: Bacteria; Pseudomonadati; Pseudomonadota; Alphaproteobacteria; Sphingomonadales; Erythrobacteraceae. The record is from RNAcentral.